This 536-nucleotide ribosomal RNA is filed under the name Colletotrichum siamense. RNAcentral's name for it is "eukaryotic LSU rRNA". The stretch from base 184 to 337 matches the Rfam family "5.8S ribosomal RNA". The record is from RNAcentral. Lineage: Eukaryota; Fungi; Ascomycota; Sordariomycetes; Glomerellales; Glomerellaceae.
AGGGAUCAUUACUGAGUUUACGCUCUACAACCCUUUGUGAACAUACCUAUAACUGUUGCUUCGGCGGGUAGGGUCUCCGCGACCCUCCCGGCCUCCCGCCCCCGGGCGGGUCGGCGCCCGCCGGAGGAUAACCAAACUCUGAUUUAACGACGUUUCUUCUGAGUGGUACAAGCAAAUAAUCAAAACUUUUAACAACGGAUCUCUUGGUUCUGGCAUCGAUGAAGAACGCAGCGAAAUGCGAUAAGUAAUGUGAAUUGCAGAAUUCAGUGAAUCAUCGAAUCUUUGAACGCACAUUGCGCCCGCCAGCAUUCUGGCGGGCAUGCCUGUUCGAGCGUCAUUUCAACCCUCAAGCUCUGCUUGGUGUUGGGGCCCUACAGCUGAUGUAGGCCCUCAAAGGUAGUGGCGGACCCUCCCGGAGCCUCCUUUGCGUAGUAACUUUACGUCUCGCACUGGGAUCCGGAGGGACUCUUGCCGUAAAACCCCCAAUUUUCCAAAAGGUUGACCUCGGAUCAGGUAGGAAUACCCGCUGAACUUAA